This 231-nucleotide signal recognition particle RNA is filed under the name Monoglobus pectinilyticus. RNAcentral describes it as "Bacterial large signal recognition particle RNA". It matches the Rfam family "Bacterial large signal recognition particle RNA", at positions 10 to 232 of the family's 256-position model. Rfam says of the family: The signal recognition particle (SRP) is a universally conserved ribonucleoprotein involved in the co-translational targeting of proteins to membranes. Lineage: Bacteria; Bacillati; Bacillota; Clostridia; Monoglobales; Monoglobaceae. The record is from RNAcentral.
UCGGGGCUUUAGCGGUGCCUUGUAACCCUCAAUCCGCUGUAGAGGGGAUGAAAACUUGCCAUGAGGGAUAUCUUUGUUUGGUCUGCCUCGCAUAAGUGGUGUUGACGGUUUGGUCUUACGCAAUUGGAACCUGUGAACCUCGUCAGGGCGGGAACGCAGCAGCGAUAAGCAGUCAUUCUGAUGUGCCGUAAGGGUGCCAAACUUGAGCUAACUGUGGGAGUAACGCUUGUA